GCCCAAGAGAAGGAGAUUGGAUUUGCUUUGAUAACUUAUGUGGCAACCUGAACUUUGCAAGGAGAGAGUAUUGUAACAACUGUAAGAGGCCUCGAUAUGGACAUGGGGGAAGUCCUCGGAGGGGAUAUCCUGGCCCUCCACCACCACACCCCCCUCCUAGACGCUUCCCUGGUCCUCCAUUGGAUAUUUCCCCUGGCAGGACUAUGAAUGGCUAUAGGUCUCCUCCUCGUGGCUGGGCCAGAGAUGGCCCUAGAGAUUUCGGGCCUGGUGGUCCUCCUCCUCCCAGACACGGAGGCAGGUUUUCUGAUCAUGACAUUCGGAGAGGUCGGCCUGAUUAUCCUGAUGAUGACUACCGGGGAAGGAACAAAUUUGAUAGGCCAAUGCCAGUGGAUUGGGGUCAUAGAGACCGAGGAAGGGAUAACUUUUUUAA
This 430-nucleotide unclassified non-coding RNA is filed under the name Hevea brasiliensis (rubber tree). The record is from RNAcentral. Lineage: Eukaryota; Viridiplantae; Streptophyta; Magnoliopsida; Malpighiales; Euphorbiaceae.